Molecule: ribosomal RNA, 253 nt
Filed under: uncultured bacterium
Lineage: Bacteria
Description: partial 16S ribosomal RNA
Rfam family: Bacterial small subunit ribosomal RNA
Source: RNAcentral
UACGUAGGGGGCAAGCGUUGUCCGGAAUCAUUGGGCGUAAAGCGCGUGUAGGCGGUUCAGUAAGUCUGCUGUGAAAGUCCAGGGCUCAACCCUGGAAUGCCGGUGGAUACUGCUGGGCUAGAGUACGGAAGAGGCGAGUGGAAUUCCCGGUGUAGCGGUGAAAUGCGCAGAUAUCGGGAGGAACACCUAUUGCGAAGGCAGCUCGCUGGGACGUUACUGACGCUGAGACGCGAAAGCGUGGGGAGCAAACAGG